AUUGAACGCUGGCGGCAGGCCUAACACAUGCAAGUCGAGCGAGCGGCGGACGGGUGAGUAAUGUAUGGGGACUGCCCGAUAGAGGGGGAUACCUACUGGAAACGGUGGCUAAUACCGCAUACUAUCGGAUAACCCAUAUGGGAUUAGCUAGUAGGUAAGGUAAUGGGUUACCUAGGCGACGAACCCUAGCUGGUCUUAGAGGAUGAUCCGCCACACUGGGACUGAGACACGGCCCAGACUCCGACGGAGGCAGCAGUGGGUAAUAUUGCACAAUGGGCGCAAGCCGGAUGCAGCCAUGCCGCGUGUAUGAAGAAGGACCUAGGGUUGUAAAGUACUUUCAGUCGGGAGGCGUUAACGACAGAAGAAGCACCGGCUAACUCCGUGCCAGCAGCCGCGGUAAUAC
This 403-nucleotide ribosomal RNA is filed under the name uncultured bacterium. RNAcentral's name for it is "partial 16S ribosomal RNA". It matches the Rfam family "Bacterial small subunit ribosomal RNA", at positions 30 to 526 of the family's 1533-position model. The record is from RNAcentral.